This 497-nucleotide ribosomal RNA is filed under the name uncultured bacterium. Its description in RNAcentral is "partial 16S ribosomal RNA". It matches the Rfam family "Bacterial small subunit ribosomal RNA", at positions 28 to 507 of the family's 1533-position model. The record is from RNAcentral.
GAUGAACGCUGGCGGCGUGCCUAAUACAUGCAAGUCGAGCGAACAGACGAGGAGCUUGCUCCUCUGACGUUAUCGGCGGACGGGUGAGUAACACGUGGAUAACCUACCUAUAAGACUGGGAUAACUUCGGGAAACCGGAGCUAAUACCGGAUAAUAUAUUGAACCGCAUGGUUCAAUAGUUAAAGACGGUUUUGCUGUCACUUAUAGAUGGAUCCGCGCCGCAUUAGCUAGUUGUUAAGGUAACGGCUUACCAAGGCAACGAUGCGUAGCCGACCUGAGAGGGUGAUCGGCCACACCGGAACUGAGACACGGUCAAGACUCCUACGGGAGGCAGCAGUAGGGAAUCUUCCGCAAAGGGCGAAAGCCUGACGGAGCAACGGCGCGUGAGUGAUGAAGGUCUUCGGAUCGUAAAACUCUGUUAUUAGGGAAGAACAAAUGUGUAAGUAACUAUGCACGUCUUGACGGUACCUAAUCAGAAAGCAACGGCUAACUACGUG